UACAGAGGGUGCAAGCGUUGCUCGGAAUUAUUGGGCGUAAAGGGCAGGUAGGUGGUCUCGUUUGUCUGGGGUGAAAUCCUUGAGCUUAACUCAAGAAGUGCCUCAGAAACGGCGAGACUAGAGUUCUGGAGAGGGUCGUGGAAUUCCCGGUGUAGCGGUGAAAUGCGUAGAGAUCGGGAGGAACACCAGAGGCGAAGGCGGCGACCUGGACAGAUACUGACACUAAACUACGAAAGCGUGGGGAGCAAACAGG
Molecule: ribosomal RNA, 253 nt
Filed under: uncultured bacterium
Lineage: Bacteria
Description: partial 16S ribosomal RNA
Rfam family: Bacterial small subunit ribosomal RNA
Source: RNAcentral